RNAcentral lists this transfer RNA (63 nucleotides) under Haania vitalisi. RNAcentral describes it as "tRNA-Thr". It matches the Rfam family "tRNA". From Rfam's summary of the family: Transfer RNA (tRNA) molecules are approximately 80 nucleotides in length. Their secondary structure includes four short double-helical elements and three loops (D, anti-codon, and T loops). The record is from RNAcentral. Lineage: Eukaryota; Metazoa; Arthropoda; Insecta; Mantodea; Haaniidae.
GUUUUGAUAGUUUAUAAUAAAACAUUGGUUUUGUAAACCAAAAAUAAUUUUAUUUUCAAAACU